GUGAAAUUUAUAUAAAGAAAUAGACUAUCUUACUUUAUUGGGAGGAACUAAAAAGUGGAGAUAAAAAACCAGGAUUAGAUACCCUGUUAUUCUUUAUGAUAAUUAAAUUGGGGUAGUAAAAGCUGUUCUUCAAACCCAAAGAUUUUGGCGGCACCUUACCCAAACAGAGGAGCUUGUCCUAUAAUUGAUAUUCCCCGUUAUACCUUACCCUCACCUGUCUAGCUUGUAUACCUCCGUUGGCAGAUUACUCCAUUAGGAUGUUUUCUUUAAAAAUAUUUUUAUUACUUCAGGUCAAGGUGCAGUUAAUGUGGGGGGAGUGAUGAGCUACAAUUUUAUAUAAAAAUACGGAUUUUUAAAUUAAAAUUUGAUUGAAGGUGGAUUUGUUAGUAAACUUGAUUUUAGAAAAGUCAGUUGAAUAGGGCAAUAAGGUGUGUACAUAUCGCCCGUCACUCUCCCCCUAAGAGGAGAUAA
Molecule: ribosomal RNA, 471 nt
Filed under: Daphnia dadayana
Lineage: Eukaryota; Metazoa; Arthropoda; Branchiopoda; Diplostraca; Daphniidae
Description: partial small subunit ribosomal RNA
Rfam family: Microsporidia small subunit ribosomal RNA (bases 110-471)
Source: RNAcentral